UACGGAGGGUGCAAACGUUGCUCGGAAUCAUUGGGCGUAAAGCGCACUUAGGCGGCCCGGUAAGUCGGAUGUGAAAGCCCUCGGCUCAACUGAGGAAGUGCAUUCGAAACUGCUGGACUUGAGUACGGGAGAGGGAUGCGGAAUUCCCGGUGUAGAAGUGAAAUUCGUAGAUAUCGGGAGGAACACCAGUGGCGAAGGGGGCAUCCUGGACCGAUACUGACGCUGAGGUGAGAAAGCGUGGGGAGCAAACAGG
RNAcentral lists this ribosomal RNA (253 nucleotides) under uncultured bacterium. Its description in RNAcentral is "partial 16S ribosomal RNA". It matches the Rfam family "Bacterial small subunit ribosomal RNA", at positions 524 to 776 of the family's 1533-position model. The record is from RNAcentral.